AUGGAUGGAGCUCCUUCCCCUCCCCUCGAUCUCACACAGGGCAACAAAAAAUCCCCACUAAGAACUAGAUCCAUGACCUCUUCCUCCCCUUUCUUUCUCCCCCGCGCGAAGCCUUUAUCCUUCAGUUACAUCCAUGGCAUCACCGGACGGCAGUUUAGAUCCAUCACGAGCGAUGUUGCAUCCACAACAACCACAUGCUGGAACCAGCCAGGCGCGGUGCUGGAACUGGCAAGGGGCGAUGCUGCGACCAAGGCUAGAUGCUGGAAGCGGCAAGGCACGGUGUUGGAACCAGCCAUGCGCGAUGCUGGAACCGACAAGGGUCUGUGUUGCAACCAGGCCAGACGCAGAAAGCGGCAAGGCGCGGUGAUGGAACCAGCCAACGACGAAAAGAUCCGGCGAGUAUUUUGUUUUGCUGGAACCAGCUUCAAAUUUUGCUACUACCAUAGUCUUCAACUUCUAUUGAAACCAACCAAUUUUUUGCUACCACGAUUUUUUCUUUGCUGGAACCAGUGUGCGAAUUUGCUACAACCGUUUUUGAUUUUUGCUGGAAUUAACCAAAAGUUUGCUGCCAUGUCCUUUUUGGCUGUAAUCAUUUUCACCACUUAUGCUAGAACCGUUUUGGAUUUUGCUACUAUCGUUUUGUCAGAUCGUUACAUCCAUUUUUCAUGA
RNAcentral lists this ribosomal RNA (669 nucleotides) under Triticum aestivum (bread wheat). Its description in RNAcentral is "partial small subunit ribosomal RNA". The record is from RNAcentral. Lineage: Eukaryota; Viridiplantae; Streptophyta; Magnoliopsida; Poales; Poaceae.